RNAcentral lists this unclassified non-coding RNA (289 nucleotides) under Podospora sp. RNAcentral describes it as "partial contains 5.8S ribosomal RNA, internal transcribed spacer 2, and large subunit ribosomal RNA". The stretch from base 1 to 71 matches the Rfam family "5.8S ribosomal RNA", at positions 84 to 154 of the family's 154-position model. The record is from RNAcentral. Lineage: Eukaryota; Fungi; Ascomycota; Sordariomycetes; Sordariales; Podosporaceae.
GUGAAUCAUCGAAUCUUUGAACGCACAUUGCGCCCGCUGGUAUUCUGGCGGGCAUGCCUGUUCGAGCGUCAUCUCCACCAUCAAGCUUCUCGGCUUGCGUUGGGGUUCCUGCGGCUGCCCGCAGGCCCUGAAAAUCAUUGGCGGGCUCGCUGUGAUUACCGAGCGCAGUAAUUUCUCUCCUCCGUAUCGCAGCGAGCACUGGCCGUAAAACACCCCUCAUCCUUCUCCAGGUUGACCUCGGAUCAGGUAGGAAUACCCGCUGAACUUAAGCAUAUCAAUAAGCGGAGGA